Molecule: long non-coding RNA, 730 nt
Filed under: Lactuca sativa (garden lettuce)
Lineage: Eukaryota; Viridiplantae; Streptophyta; Magnoliopsida; Asterales; Asteraceae
Description: long non-coding RNA (LSAT_LNC000118)
Source: RNAcentral
CUACCUGCUCGGCUUCCUCCGUCUUUGGUGGUUCAGAAGAAGUCGCGACUGCCACAAUUGUUUCCUGAAUCGCUUCGAUCUUCUUCGCUCCGUCUUCGUCUACGCAGGUUUCAGCUUUCUCGACUACUUCAGUCACCUCCUUCACCGGUUCCGGUACCUCGGCUGCUGGUGCUAGUGGAGCCGGGGUGAUCUUCUCUUCUUCUUUGCACUCGGCCGCAGGUUCCGAUGUCUCCGCGGUCGGUGGAACGGCCUUCUCUUCCUUACUCUCAACCACAACCGUCUCCGGCUCUGGUGUAGAUUCUUCCUUCGCAGCCGUCUCAUCACAAGCCUUAGCUUCUUCUUCAACGGCCUUCGCAGCUUUCUCCUCUGCCGGCUUCUCCUCCUUAACAGGUGCCGGAGGAGCGGUAAACUCAUGCUUGUUAAGCGCCUCCUGAACCAACUGUUUCAGUUCAUCCAACGCCUUCUUCUGUGGAUCAGGAAGCUCACCGGCAACAUUAGAUUCCUCCUUGAACGAAGCCGAUUCAGUAAUCUUCUCCUUCUCCUCUUCCACAACUUUCACAGGCUCCUCGACCACAGCCUCAGGUUCCGGUGGCCCAUCUUUCUCAUAAACGACAGUUGCUUCAGCCUUCUCCGCCUCUGGAACAACAGCAACUUCAGCAGCCGCUACCGGAGCCUCCGAUGCUGCCGCCGCCGUCUUCAAAAUCUCUUCCGCCAUGUAUAACAACAACUA